Molecule: transfer RNA, 71 nt
Filed under: Emeia pseudosauteri
Lineage: Eukaryota; Metazoa; Arthropoda; Insecta; Coleoptera; Lampyridae
Description: tRNA-Lys
Source: RNAcentral
CAUUAGAUGACUGAAAGCAAGUAAUGGUCUCUUAAACCACCUUAUAGUAAAUUAGCAUCUACUUUUAAUGG